RNAcentral lists this ribosomal RNA (472 nucleotides) under uncultured Alphaproteobacteria bacterium. RNAcentral describes it as "bacterial SSU rRNA". It matches the Rfam family "Bacterial small subunit ribosomal RNA", at positions 8 to 524 of the family's 1533-position model. The record is from RNAcentral. Lineage: Bacteria; Pseudomonadati; Pseudomonadota; Alphaproteobacteria.
AGAGUUUGAUUCUGGCUCAGAGCGAACGCUGGCGGCAGGCUUAACACAUGCAAGUCGAACGGGCACCUUCGGGUGUCAGUGGCAGACGGGUGAGUAACACGUGGGAACGUACCCUUCGGUUCGGAAUAACUCAGGGAAACUUGAGCUAAUACCGGAUACGCCCCUUUGGGGAAAGGUUUACUGCCGAAGGAUCGGCCCGCGUCUGAUUAGCUUGUUGGUGGGGUAACGGCCUACCAAGGCGACGAUCAGUAGCUGGUCUGAGAGGAUGAUCAGCCACACUGGGACUGAGACACGGCCCAGACUCCUACGGGAGGCAGCAGUGGGGAAUAUUGGACAAUGGGCGCAAGCCUGAUCCAGCCAUGCCGCGUGAGUGAUGAAGGCCUUAGGGUUGUAAAGCUCUUUUGUCCGGGACGAUAAUGACGGUACCGGAAGAAUAAGCCCCGGCUAACUUCGUGCCAGCAGCCGCGGUAAU